CGGGACGGGUGAGUAACGCGUGGAUAACCUGCCGUAUGCAGGGGGAUACCAACUGGAAACAGUUGCUAAUACCGCAUAAGCGCACAGUGUCGCAUGACACGGUGUGAAAAGAUUUAUCGGCAUACGAUGGAUCCGCGUCCGAUUAGCCAGUUGGCGGGGUAACGGCCCACCAAAGCGACGAUCGGUAGCCGGCCUGAGAGGGCGGACGGCCACAUUGGGACUGAGACACGGCCCAAACUCCUACGGGAGGCAGCAG
This 256-nucleotide ribosomal RNA is filed under the name uncultured bacterium. RNAcentral's name for it is "partial 16S ribosomal RNA". It matches the Rfam family "Bacterial small subunit ribosomal RNA", at positions 98 to 354 of the family's 1533-position model. The record is from RNAcentral.